AGUUUGAUCCUGGCUCAGAAUGAACGCUGGCGGCAGGCCUAACACAUGCAAGUCGAACGGAGUUAUAUUGUAGCUUGCUAUGGUAUAACUUAGUGGCAGACGGGUGAGUAAUGUAUAGGAAUCUACCUAGUAGUACGGAAUAAUUGUUGGAAACGGCAACUAAUACCGUAUACGCCCUACGGGGGAAAAAUUUAUUGGCUAUUAGAUGAGCCUAUAUUAGAUUAGCUAGUUGGUGGAGUAAUAGCCUACCAAGGCAAUGAUCUAUAGCUGAUCUGAGAGGAUGAUUAGCCACACUGGAACUGAGAUACGGUACAG
RNAcentral lists this ribosomal RNA (315 nucleotides) under uncultured bacterium. Its description in RNAcentral is "bacterial SSU rRNA". It matches the Rfam family "Bacterial small subunit ribosomal RNA", at positions 10 to 334 of the family's 1533-position model. The record is from RNAcentral.